Molecule: long non-coding RNA, 413 nt
Organism: Alosa alosa (allis shad)
Lineage: Eukaryota; Metazoa; Chordata; Actinopteri; Clupeiformes; Clupeidae
Exons: 3
Source: RefSeq, a predicted model, not a curated record
UUCCCAUCUCGGUUGGUUCAACCUGGCAGGCCGAGUGGUCUUUAUAUCGGAGAGAUGAGGGAGCGGAGCGUCUGCUCUGGCUGCGCUCCUCCGAGGUCAUGCCUACUGACUCCUCAAACAUUAGUCAUCUUGCAAGCUCUUCUGUGUUUACUGUCCUUGGUCCUCAUCUUGUCAUGGUCACUUCGACGAUGUAAGGUCAAACAGCGUCUGGCCGAAAUAAAGGGUGAAGACUCUGUUAAUCAAAUUGUACUUCACCCAAAAGAAAAUCCUGAAAAGACCUCCACCUUAUGCACCUGUGUCCAUCGCUACUCUGAGACAGCGCAGACUCUUGUGCUGCAGAGCGAAGCGAGUGAGCAGGAGUAUAGUCUGCGCCGUUUAUGCCACCUGCAAUAUGAGGACCCAGACGCUGCAGG